Molecule: long non-coding RNA, 1083 nt
Organism: Trematomus bernacchii (emerald rockcod)
Lineage: Eukaryota; Metazoa; Chordata; Actinopteri; Perciformes; Nototheniidae
Exons: 3
Source: RefSeq, a predicted model, not a curated record
CCGUUGCAACAUGGGAAUGAUAAGAAGAGGAGAAAAAAGAAAAAAGAAAAGAAGAAUGUACAUCUUACCUCCACUCCGGUAGGUUAGAAAAAUAGCGACUUACUGCAGCUGCUUGACAAAAGUGUCGGCUUCUUUGGGAUCUUCAAAAUAAACAAUCUUCUCUUUAUGAAGACUACGGAGCCGAUGAGGAUAUGCAAAUCCUCUGAACAUGCCUUUUUCGAGGAAUAAUUUGAUCACCAGGUCAAACUCCUUGCGCUUUCGGCGUACCUCUGCAGACAGAUCCUGGCGAAUGGUGAGUUUAGUAUUACCCUCGUGGAUUGACAUUUUCUUCGCAGAUUGCAGUAUCAUUUCUUUAUCUCUGACUCGUAGAAAGCGGAUCAUAAUUGGUCUUGGAGGCUUCCCUGGCUCGGGAUAUGGUCGUAGAGAGCGGUGAACCCGCUCCAACUCUAGAUUCUGAUCGAGGGAGAGUUUGAGCCAGCAAGACACUAGAGGGCGCCAGAGGAUCGAAUAAUGAAAUCUGAUGCAGAGCUCAGAGGAUCAGUGAGUUCUCUGCACGAUGUGUCUGGCACCAACACAAGAUGACCCAAUCUGGAGAGAAAACUGGACUAAAGUAGGACGGAGGGAGGGCUGGACUGGCCAUCUGGCAUACCGGGCAUUUUCCCGGUGGGCCGACGUGCCUUUUGGGCCGACACGUCAUUUUUUUUUUUUUCUGAAGUCCCGGCCCAUAAGACGGGUAGAUUGGCCCUCUGUUUAAAUGUUUUUAGUAAUUGACACUGGGCCGGCCCAAUCAAAUCUUUAAUCACCUCCCCCUUUGGGCCGCUCGGUGUGCAUCAUUAAAUCACGCCCCCAGGAGGUGAGCCGGCCGUUGAAGCCUAACCGCCUUUUUUUUCGAAAAAAAAAAAGUUCGAGUUAGAAAUGGAGAAGGCGAAGGCGAAGAAGAAGGCCAAGCGAAAAGGGGGAGCAGAAAAAUUGCGGGCAAGAAAAAAGCAGGCCCUUCGUGCUGAUGCUGCCGCUUGUGUCAAAAUAACCGACAUGUUUAGUACAGGUGCAGGUCCAUCUUCAGCACCCGUGGCCGAUAUUGGU